AUCCAACUGACGAGUCGCAAAUAAGACGAAAGGCUUGCCAAACUGGAU
This 48-nucleotide non-coding RNA is filed under the name Schistosoma mansoni. The record is from RNAcentral. Lineage: Eukaryota; Metazoa; Platyhelminthes; Trematoda; Strigeidida; Schistosomatidae.